This 497-nucleotide ribosomal RNA is filed under the name uncultured bacterium. RNAcentral describes it as "partial 16S ribosomal RNA". It matches the Rfam family "Bacterial small subunit ribosomal RNA", at positions 28 to 507 of the family's 1533-position model. The record is from RNAcentral.
GAUGAACGCUGGCGGCGUGCCUAAUACAUGCAAGUCGAGCGAACGGACGAGAAGCUUGCUUCUCUGAUGUUAGCGGCGGACGGGUGAGUAACACGUGGAUAACCUACCUAUAAGACUGGGAUAACUUCGGGAAACCGGAGCUAAUACCGGAUAAUAUUUUGAACCGCAUGGUUCAAAAGUGAAAGACGGUCUUGCUGUCACUUAUAGAUGGAUCCGCGCUGCAUUAGCUAGUUGGUAAGGUAACGGCUUACCAAGGCAACGAUGCAUAGCCGACCUGAGAGGGUGAUCGGCCACACUGGAACUGAGACACGGUCCAGACUCCUACGGGAGGCAGCAGUAGGGAAUCUUCCGCAAUGGGCGAAAGCCUGACGGAGCAACACCGCGUGAGUGAUGAAGGUCUUCGGAUCGUAAAACUCUGUUAUUAAGAAAGAACAUAUGUGUAAGUAACUGUGCACAUCUUGACGGUACCUAAUCAGAAAGCCACGGCUAACUACGUG